GAGUUUGAUCCUGGCUCAGAGCGAACGCUGGCGGCAGGCUUAACACAUGCAAGUCGAGCGGGCGUAGCAAUACGUCAGCGGCAGACGGGUGAGUAACGCGUGGGAACGUACCUUUUGGUUCGGAACAACACAGGGAAACUUGUGCUAAUACCGGAUAAGCCCUUACGGGGAAAGAUUAUCGCCGAAAGAUCGGCCCGCGUCUGAUUAGCUAGUUGGUGAGGUAACGGCUCACCAAGGCGACGAUCAGUAGCUGGUCUGAGAGGAUGAUCAGCCACAUUGGGACUGAGACACGGCCCAAACUCCUACGGGAGGCAGCAGUGGGGAAUUUUGGACAAUGGACGAAAGUCUGAUCCAGCGACGCCGCGUGCACGAAGAAGGUCUUCGGAUCGUAAAGUGCUUUUGGCAGGGAAAAAUUUUGAUUGUACCUGCAGAAUAAGAGGUUGCUAACUCUGUGCCAGCAGCAGCGGUAAUACAGAGACCUCAAGCGUUAUCCGGAAUCAUUGGGCGUAAAGCGUACCGAUAGGUGGUUUUGUUGGUCUUGGGUGAAAUCCUGAAGCUCAACUUCAGGUUUGCUCAAGAUACCGCAAGACUAGAGGGGCAAAGAGGUAACUGGAACGAACGGUGUAGUAGUGAAAUGCGUUGAUAUCGUUCGGAACACCGAAAGCGAAGGCAGGUUACUGGGUGCCACCUGACACUGCUAGGACGAAAGCGUGGGGAGCGAAUGGGAUUAGAUACCCCAGUAGUCCACGCUGUAAACGAUGAAUACUAGGCAUGCGCGAGUAUCGACCCUCGUGCGAGCCGUAGCUAACGCGUUAAGUAUUCCGCCUGGGGAGUACGGCCGCAAGGCUAAAACUCAAAGGAAUUGACGGGAACCCGCACAAGCGGUGGAGCAUGUGGUUUAAUUCGACGGUAAGCGAGGAACCUUACCAAGGUUUGACAUGUCACUUCAAGCGCACGGAAACGUGUGAUCUUCGAGAGUGUGAUACAGGUGCUGCACGGUUGUCGUCAGCUCGUGUCGUGAGAUGUUCCCUUAAGUGGGAGAACGAGCGCAACCCCCAUGAUAUGUUGAUUUUCAUAUCAGACUGCCAGCGUUUAAGUUGGAGGAAGGCGGGGAUGACGUCAAGUCCUCAUGGCCCUUAUGGGUAGGGCUUCACACGUCAUACAAUGGCCGGUACAGAGGGUUGCCAAGGCGCGAGCUGGAGCCAAUCCCCAUAAAAGCCGGUCGUAGUCCGGAUUGCAGUCUGCAACUCGACUGCAUGAAGUCGGAAUCGCUAGUAAUCGCGGAUCAGCAUGUCGCGGUGAAUACGUUCCCGGGUCUUGCACACAC
RNAcentral lists this ribosomal RNA (1327 nucleotides) under uncultured bacterium. RNAcentral describes it as "partial 16S ribosomal RNA". It matches the Rfam family "Bacterial small subunit ribosomal RNA". The record is from RNAcentral.